AGGAAUGAACAGUUCGGCAAGUCUACAAAGGCCAUGAAGAAAUACUGUAAACGAUCAAGCAAGGACGAUCUAGUUUUGAAGGCCACAUUCGAAUCAAUCACGAGAAUUGGAUAA
This 114-nucleotide ribosomal RNA is filed under the name Triticum aestivum (bread wheat). RNAcentral's name for it is "partial small subunit ribosomal RNA". Lineage: Eukaryota; Viridiplantae; Streptophyta; Magnoliopsida; Poales; Poaceae. The record is from RNAcentral.